AUGUGUGUGUGUGUGUGUGUGCAUGUGGCUGUGUCCAGGCCUGAGCACGCACCUUCUAAUGCCAGGGUCCUCGCUCAGGAGCUCUGGUGGGCCGAAAAGCUGGGGAUUCCUGGAUUUGCCGGCCAAAGUGUACUGGGGAGCAGCACCCGUGAGGGGCCCGGGUUUGCAGCAGAGGCUGCCGGGAUCUGCCCGGAACUCGGGAGCUGGGACAGACCUUUGCAGAAUCGUGUUGAUAUACCUGAGUUCAUCAACGACCCAGUGUGCGCAAGUGCUGCUCCAACCUGUGGUGUGGACAAGGAGACAAUCGGAGGAUUCUGUCCCUUUGUCCCAGUCUCAAGACCGACGUAUGCGCUGGCUGCCACCCCAAGUUGUCAACUUUAUUUUCUCUGCAGCCAAGGACCAGGGAGGGCAUUUUCUGCGGUCAUACCCUGGGCAGAGAGGACCAGUGCCACCUGGUCCCAGCCCAGCAAAGGGCCCGAAGACACAUUCGUGGGCCCUUGGAGGCUAGGCUUGAGGGGAGGCUCAUGUGCCUCAGUCUUUGGGCGCCAGUGGACGAUUCCUUAGAACAGCUGUGGUCCCAGUUCUGUGUCCUCCGAGAGAGGAGGGAGGUGGCGGAGGAAGUCUGUACCCCUCUGGCACUCACGGCUCCCCACUUCCCCGGUCUUUUUGAGGCUUGCACCCCACUGACUCCUGAGACGUCUAAAGUUUGGACAGAGCAAUGCCGGAAAACUCCCUUCAGCAGCCUCGGCCGAGAGCAGGUGGUCCCUUUCGUGUGUGACUCGGGGGUGCAGGGAUGAGCUGCCUCGAGGCUGGAGGGGCACGGAGAGGUCGCGGAAAGUCUGCUGCCAGCCCUUGUGCCAGGGUCCCAGCCUGGCCUGGGACCACAGGGGCCUGGCAGAGGGGCAACAGCUCUGAUCCUGCCUUCGAUGCGUGUGAGUGUGCGUCCGCGGUUGUGUGCGCAUGUGUGAGCGGGAGCGUGAACGUGUUAGUGUGUGUUUCAGCAGGUGUGAAAGACUGCGUGGGCGAGCGUGGGUGUCAGUGGGGGUCGAGCAUGCGGGAAGGUGCGUGAACGCAGGAGCGUGUGCGUGCGGCUUAGGGCGAGAGCCUGGGCAGCGCGGCCUUCGAGGGAGGCUGGCGGGCCGCCUUGCGGUACAUCCGCCCCGGCCCAGCGCCCCCCGCCCCGCGUCUCAAGCCCCAGGCAGGGCCCUGGAGUCCGGCCGCGGGCGAGCCGGCCUCCGGCUCCUGCGUCCCCGGCCCGCAGCCGCAGGU
This 1269-nucleotide long non-coding RNA is filed under the name Sus scrofa (pig). Its description in RNAcentral is "lncRNA (ENSSSCG00025010885.1)". The record is from RNAcentral. Lineage: Eukaryota; Metazoa; Chordata; Mammalia; Artiodactyla; Suidae.